Oreochromis aureus is the source of this 2484-nucleotide long non-coding RNA. Lineage: Eukaryota; Metazoa; Chordata; Actinopteri; Cichliformes; Cichlidae. The record is from Ensembl.
GUGCACCACUGGAAAUGUUUGCAAGGUGCCCUUCUUAAGGCAUGAUUUUGGGCAACAGGAGUGGGAGAGUGUGGGCAGAAUCAUUGCAUUUGGAUGGGUUAGAGAGAAAUAUCUGCCUGUGAAAAUUGCACCUGCCAUUCUAGAACAAGCUGCCUUUGGAUAUGUAAAGAGUGAUAUUGUGGAGGAUUUCCUUAAGUUCAUGCCUGAAUCUGAGCGUACAGUGUUAGAGGCGUGGCGAUCAGACUUUAGCAUCGUGGACCAAGAAGAACUUAUAGACAUACUUGAUAACCACAGCUGCAGAAAGAUACCAACAGCCUACAAUGCCACUGAAGUCCUAUUGGAGCUUGCACACAAAACACUUGUCCAAGAGCCUGCCUAUGUUAUUGAACAGUGGGCAAGAACACUCAGCACUGCAUGGGAAAGCAUUUGUGAUCUAUCGUCACUUUUUGAAACCCUCCAACCAAAUGUUUUGCACAGGUUCAGAUUUACAUCUUGGAAAGAACAUCAUCAUUGGGUUUAACGAACUUAAAGGUUUCCAGAGACGACCUGUGGCACACACAUGUGGAUGUGUACUGGAGCUGUCGAUAAAUUAAGCACAAAGAUUGGCUGCUCACCUCAUCAUUCUUCUUGUCUUCGAUGUGCUCAAAGAAGUUCACAGCAUAACUACAGUCAGUAAAGGAUCAUUUGAAGCUGGACAAUCCAUCUCCAUCCCAUCUCUCCAUGACUCCCAAUACAUAAACCAUGUGAAGUACUUGUGUGAAGGAUAUUAUUGGAGAUACCCCCAGUCUCUAUGUGGAUCAUCAGAGAACUACAGGAUAUAUUGGAGGAAACAUAACCAUCAGAUGUCACCACAGUAACUCUGGAGAAAUGAAGUGGUGCAGGCUGGGCAAGAACUGUGUGACAGGAUCAUCAGGAUCUAUAGAUGGUGCAGCAGUGACCACUCACAUGAGAGACCCAAAUGUUUUCACAAUGACCGUGAGUGGACUAAGGUCAGAGGACAGUGGCUGGUAUUUGUGUGCUAAAGAGGACAUUGGGAGACUGACUACCUCUACCCACACUGUUGCUGGAAAUCUAACAUUUACCACAUUCGAAAAUAACCAACAUAGAUUUUGUACAGCUUCAUUUGACCCUAAGAGCCUCAUCUUUUGUCUGAGUUUGUUGAUCUUCAUUUUAAUUGCGGUGCCGUUCAACUGUUUUAUAUUAAUAUACAAGAAGCAUAAAGCAGAAUCACCAGUGACAGCAAUGGUUGAAGAGGAAGUAACAUACUCAGAAGUUAGAUACCUGAAAGGCAAGAUGGAUGGGGAAGUAACAGACUCCACUGUGAGAAAUGUGGGAAGAAAAACACCAAAGGAUAAAUGCACAGAAGUUACAUACAGCAUCCAUCCAUCCAGUCACCACUGAAAUAUUUAAAAAUUACAACUUUCUGCCUUUUUAUUUUUCUUAUCCGUAGCUGUAUUACUGAAGUCUUUGUCAGAGAAGUGAUGCAAUGUGUUGAAUCUACUGCUCAGCUUGUCCUGUAACUCUUUUCUUUAAGAUCUUUAAGCUGUCACAGUUUAUUUUGUAAUUCUUGAAUGGAAUUCUGGCUGUAAAAGAUGAGUUAAGGCUCCAUCAUGUGGUGGGUUUGAUAUAUGGUUGGAUUUUUAAUGUGAGAGAAUAUCCAUCCAUCCAUCCAUCCAUCCAUCCAUCCAUCCAUCCAUCCAUCCAUCCAUCCAUCUUUUUUCUGCUUAUCAGCUACCAUUCAGAGGAAACCCAUUUCUGCCGCUUGUAUCUGCGAUCUCGUUCUUUCAGCCUUAGAUUUGGAUGUGCUGAUUCUCAUUCCGACCGCUUCACACUCGGCUGCUAACUGUUCCAAUGUGAGCCACAUCAUCACAUCAACCACCACCACAUCAACCACGUCAUCCAUGAAAAGCAGAGAUAAGAUUCUGAGACCACUGAAGUGAAAGCCUUCCACCACUUGGCUGCGCCUAGAAAUUCUGGCAAUAAAAAUUACAAACAGAAUCGGUGACAUAGCCCUGGCAGAGCCCAUCACCCACCAGGAACAAGUCUGACUUAUUGCGGACCGAACUCUUGCAACGGUUGUAUUAGGAUCAAAAGGCCCGUAGCAAUGGGUCAAACACCCCAUACUCCCGGAGCACCUCCCAUAGUACACUCCAAGGGACACGAUCAAAUGCCUUCUCCAAACCCACAAAACACAUGUAGACUGUUGGGCAAACUCCCAUGCACCCUCAAGUAUCCUUGAGAGGAUAAAGAGCUGGUCCAGUGUUCCUCAGCCAGGACGAAAACCACAUUGUUCCUCCUGUAUCCAAGUUUCGACUAACAGAUGGACUCUCCUUUCCAGCACCCAUGUCUGCCAGUCCUGGGGUACUGCCCCACCCCUGAUCUCCACGCAAGAUUGUAGAGGCGUGUCAACCAGGACAGCCCUACAACAUACAGGGAGUGCAGAAUUAUUAGGCAAAUGAGUAUUUUGUCCACAUCAUCCUCUUC